RNAcentral lists this ribosomal RNA (476 nucleotides) under uncultured bacterium. RNAcentral describes it as "bacterial SSU rRNA". It matches the Rfam family "Bacterial small subunit ribosomal RNA", at positions 23 to 478 of the family's 1533-position model. The record is from RNAcentral.
CUCAGAUUGAACGCUGGCGGCAGGCCUAACACAUGCAAGUCGAGCGGAAACGACAUUAUUGAUUCUUCGGAUGAUUUAAUGGGCGUCGAGCGGCGGACGGGUGAGUAAUGCCUAGGAAAUUGCCUUGAUGUGGGGGAUAACCAUUGGAAACGAUGGCUAAUACCGCAUAAUGCCUACGGGCCAAAGAGGGGGAUCUUCGGACCUCUCGCGUCAAGAUAUGCCUAGGUGGGAUUAGCUAGUUGGUGAGGUAAUGGCUCACCAAGGCGACGAUCCCUAGCUGGUCUGAGAGGAUGAUCAGCCACACUGGAACUGAGACACGGUCCAGACUCCUACGGGAGGCAGCAGUGGGGAAUAUUGCACAAUGGGCGAAAGCCUGAUGCAGCCAUGCCGCGUGUAUGAAGAAGGCCUGGUUGUAAGUACGUUACUAGUUGUGUAGAAGGGGUAACGGUUAACGUAGCGUUAUCUCUUGUCGUUAG